Molecule: long non-coding RNA, 3217 nt
Filed under: Sus scrofa (pig)
Lineage: Eukaryota; Metazoa; Chordata; Mammalia; Artiodactyla; Suidae
Description: lncRNA (ENSSSCG00000053527.1)
Source: RNAcentral
AAGUUCAAAUUGAAUAUUUUUUUCUGUUCUUAAGAUGAUAAAAGCAAAAUCAACCACCAUUCCUUCCACAAAAACGUUUUUUAAAUGGAGAUCAAUUUCAUAUUUCCUAGUCUUCCAACAGAGGUAUAUGGUCAAAUUGUUUAAAAUACUAUAGAGUAAAUUCUUGAAUUCUUUACCGAGUCAUAAUUGUCUUCUAGUAAUAAGACUAAAGGAUUGCUUAGUCACUGUUGAAUUUGAAACUUCAUAGAUCAUUCAGAAUUCUCAAAAUGUAAAUCAUGUAGCCUAAGUACUGAGGAAGUGAAAACCAGGAGUCAGGAGCAGAAUGUGUCUCAGGGGACAAAAUUUCUUCUGUUUGGCAAAACACCUUUUUAUUCGUUUUUGCUGAGGAACAGCCUUCAGGACAUUGUAUAGUUAUCCAGAAAUGACAAGGAAGUAUGGCUUUCCUGCCUAAGGAAUACUCCUAAAUUGGGAUAGUGGCUGGUAAAUGUAUUAAAGAAUCAAAGAAAGGAGAUCAGAGGAGGGAGAGAGAAAGCGCAGUGAAAUGGCAGGAACUAGAGCAUGAACAGAAACGAUAAGCAACAAAGCUUCUAGCGGGUGUGAGCAAACUUCCAGGCACUGAGAGGCUUCCUGCUUCUGCUCAUGUCCUUGCAUUUCUCGCACCUCCUCUCUGAUGCCUGAGCACCCUAUGAAGGGAAGUGUGAGGCCCGUGUUUGGGACAUAUGCUAUAGCCGCGAUGGCAGUAGUAUGUGGAUUUAUUUUUUCUGGUGCUUAGAUUCCCAGGGGAUCAUAGGAUUAUUUAACCAGAAAUAGUCUCUUUGGAGGUCUAGAUGCAGGAGGAAUAUGACCUGUUAAGAGACAGCUCAUUUCUGCUGUGGCUCUGUAGGUUUUACUAUGCAGAUGCAUCUGAUUGAGUGGUCAGGUUUGUUCUGGAAGUCAAUUUGGCUCCACUCACCAAGCUUUGCUACAGGACCUACGUGAACAUCUGUUGAGACUUUGGGACGUCUUUAUCUUAAUGUAUCUCAGCACACUGUGUGCUAAUCAUGGUCCUGCUCUUGUCAAUUCCUACCUUAGACCCAAAGAAAUAAUUUAAGGGGCCUGAACUGUAGAAUACCUGCUGAGCAAUUAACAGUGAAUGAGCUCCUGGGCUACACCACUAGGCUGGUUGGUGGUCUAUGAUAAACACAAUUGAUAUUACAAUAUUCUCUGCUUUCUCUCUGCCUCUUUUUCUCAAUAGCUAACUAGUUAUUGAUUUAGAUAGGUUGAUAAGUAACAUGUAAUAUGCAUAUAUAUAUGAUACAUAUGUAUGUAUUUAUGAUACAUGAUACACAUGGCACAGAAUACAAUAGUACAGAAGAAGACUAGCCCCUGCAAUUUUCUACCAAUAAUCCCACUUUCCAGAAGGAUAUUUAUGUUUGUCUGUAUUUCUUUUACAAAUUACUUAAAUGUCUUUAAAUCAUAACUAUAUACUCUGUAUCUCAAUUUAUCAACUUCAGACAAUAUUUUUUUGACACUCACCUAUGCAAAAUAACUGCUGUGCAAUUUUAUUAUCCUACUAAUCGUCCUCAUUCCUCUCAAUAUUUGAUAGAGGUGCACUUUAAAAAUUAUUCUCUUGGUUAAUCUUGCAUAUUUAUAUGACUCGUUUGACUUUGGUUUCCUUUCUAUCAAUUUGUACAGCAUACAGAGCACCACCUAUAUAUUAAAUGAGAAUACUGUGGUUCUUAAUUUUUUUUUUAGCACCUUUCUCUCUACUUACUAUCCUGUUAACUGCAAGCUCUAACUUUGCUUUUGUAUUUCCAAGUUUGUUAAAACUUAUAUUCUGCAUUUCUAUUACUUUUAAAUCAUCAGCACUUUGUUUUUUCAAGGCUCAGAAACUUUUGUAGCAAGGAUUUUGAAAAACAAUAGUGCCAUCUGUUUUCUCUCCAUGCCCUAAUAGCUGUCUUGGGCUUUCUUUAUCAUCAUGUACAUACACAGGCCCAAAAUUAUAAGGCAUAAUUGUAUGUUUAUAUGGACUAAAUAUUUAAAUAUGUAUAUCAUAUACACACACACAGACACAAAUUUCAUGCGCCAGACUUUUCCUUAAGCACAUAGAAAUAAAUUUAAUUGACAAAUCUAAUGCUCCCCAUAGUCCUAUUGAGGCUGGUACCUAUUAUUAUGCCUCUUUUAUUUAUGAAGUUAAUGAAUCUCCAAAAUUUAUUACAUGUUCAAUGGUACAUGACUUUUGAUUAGUAAUGACACUGAGAUUCAAACCCAGGGAUCUUAUUCCAAAUGCUGUGGUUUUAUUAAUAUACAAUAUUUCUAAGAACAAUUAAAUUUAGAUAUAGGUUAAGAUGUUUAUGGAUAUUUCACCAUAAAGAAUGAAAUUCAAGGAGUUCCCAUCAUGGCUCAGUGGAUUAAGACCCCAGCAUAGUGUCCAUGAGGAUAUGGGUUUGAUCCCUGCCUUGCUCAGUGGGUUAAGAGUCCAGCAUUGUUGGAAGCUGUUAUAGGUCAUAGAUGUGACUCGGAUCUGGCAUUGCCAUAGCUGUGGUGAGGCCAGCAGCUGCAGCUCUGAUUUAACCCUAGCUUGGAAACUUCCAUGUGCAGCAGGUGUGGCCAUUAAAAAAAAAAAAAACGCGAUUUGUGUGAGAUUAUAUAAUAUCUUGACAUACCGGAUGCCAACAAGAUAUAUUUUUAUUUUCAUGAUACGAGGGUAAAAUUAACCAAAAUGUAGUCAUUUUUCAGAUUUUUUCUGUACUCUUAAUUUCUUUAUCCUUCAUGUGAAAACAUAUACAUUGUCUUUUUUGCUGAGUCUUUGUUUUAAAAUGCCAUAUUCUUGUAGUAUCUUGUAAAAUUGAGGAAGCAGGUAUAUUUCCAACUAAGCUAUUUACUUUUUAAUUUGAGAGCCUUUUUAAAGAAAUACUUACACUUAAUAACUGAGAAAAAUCUUUUUUCCAAUUACUAGGCCAAUUACAAGUACAUUCUUAGUUUUUAGUUAGGAGUUAAAAUGAAACAUUAAUAAUUGUCAUAAAAUAUUCAAAAUGACAGCUAAAUCUAAACAUUAAUACCAGUUGAAAUACUAUUCAAUAUGGAAUGCUUAUGAAAUAAACUCAGUUCAGAUUAUGUUGUAGACCAUGUGUGCACAUGGUAUGCACUAUUCUAAGAUGAAACUCAGGAUCUCACACAUUUGUGUUAUUACAGCAUAAAUUGGGCCUGCAACCACUUCAAACCAUUUGCAGGAAAU